GACGAACGCUGGCGGAGUGCUUUAAGCAUGCAAGUCGAGCGGAGAGAGGUAGCUUGCUACUGAUCUUAGCGGCGGACGGGUGAGUAAUGCUUAGGAAUCUGCCUAUUAGUGGGGGACAACAUUUCGAAAGGAAUGCUAAUACCGCAUACGUCCUACGGGAGAAAGCAGGGGAUCUUCGGACCUUGCGCUAAUAGAUGAGCCUAAGUCGGAUUAGCUAGCUGGUGGGGUAAAGGCCUACCAAGGCGACGAUCUGUAGCGGGUCUGAGAGGAUGAGCCGCCACACUGGGACUGAGACACCGCCCAGACUCCUACGGGAGGCGGCAGUGGGGAAUAUUGGACAAUGGGCGCAAGCCUGAUCCAGCCAUGCCGCGUGUGUGAAGAAGGCCUUAUGGUUGUAAAGCACUUUAAGCGAGGAGGAGGCUACUUUAGUUAAUACCUAGAGAUAGUGGACGUUACUCGCAGAAUAAGCACCGGCUAACUCUGUGCCAGCCGCCGCAGUAA
RNAcentral lists this ribosomal RNA (501 nucleotides) under uncultured bacterium. Its description in RNAcentral is "partial 16S ribosomal RNA". It matches the Rfam family "Bacterial small subunit ribosomal RNA", at positions 28 to 523 of the family's 1533-position model. The record is from RNAcentral.